Molecule: ribosomal RNA, 468 nt
Filed under: uncultured bacterium
Lineage: Bacteria
Description: partial 16S ribosomal RNA
Rfam family: Bacterial small subunit ribosomal RNA
Source: RNAcentral
GACGAACGCUGGCGGCGUGCUUAACACAUGCAAGUCGAACGGAAAGGCCCUGCUUUUGUGGGGUGCUCGAGUGGCGAACGGGUGAGCAACACGUGAGUAACCUGCCCUUGACUUUGGGAUAACUUCAGGAAACUGGGGCUAAUACCGGAUAGGAGCUCCUGCUGCAUGGUGGGGGUUGGAAAGUUUCGGCGGUUGGGGAUGGACUCGCGGCUUAUCAGCUUGUUGGUGGGGUAGUGGCUUACCAAGGCUUUGACGGGUAGCCGGCCUGAGAGGGUGACCGGCCACAUUGGGACUGAGAUACGGCCCAGACUCCUACGGGAGGCAGCAGUGGGGAAUAUUGCACAAUGGGCGGAAGCCUGAUGCAGCAACGCCGCGUGCGGGAUGACGGCCUUCGGGUUGUAAACCGCUUUCGCCUGUGACGAAGCGUGAGUGGCGGUAAUGGGUAAAGAAGCACCGGCUAACUACGUG